CUUCUGCAGGCGUUUUCUCCACCAAACCCUCAAACUCCGAUCGAGCCCAUGUCAAGCAAUGGUCAAUGUUGUGCGGGAAGGAGUGCACGGUGCACAUCGGAGCUUGUUUCUCAGGUGGGUCCCUAGAAGCACCGUAGUUUUCAGUUAGGUGAGGAAUGACCAUCUGAGUGUUGCAUUUGGCACCUAAGGUUCCAGACUCGAGAAGAGGCUUUUGGAAGUACAAGCACCUCUGAUCAACAUAAAGUCUCGCAUUGACAUUGUCCAAAGCAUUCACAACAGCGGUUAAGUUCUCCCAGAAGGUAUCAUCAAAGACAUUCUCUGUUUCAGAGCCAACACGAUUCUGCAGCGCUUCAAUCUUGAGAUGAGGAUUUAUUAAUGCAGCAGCUGAAGCAGCGACUGUGGAUUUGGCCUGUCCAAUAUUCCAGUCACGGAAGAGAAACUGCCUGCUCAAAUUACUCUUCUCUAUUACAUCAUCAUCAGUUAUUGUCAGCUUUCCUUGUUCACCACAUGAAACACCCAUCAGCGCUAAGUUCUUCAAGAAUUCACAGCCUAGGGCACCAGAUCCUACUACAAACAAAUUGGCACCCUCCAGUUUCUUCUGAAGAUUGGAUCCAAAAACAGAAAUUUGAGCAUCAUAACGGCUGUUUAAUGGCAUGAAUUCACUGGGAUCCAAAUUAGCUGUGGGAAGUGAUUCCACAGAAUCAAAAUAAAAGAACUGUGACAGCAGGAAAAGCAGGAUUAGCUUACACAACAAGAAACCUAAUUGCAUUGAUAACAGAAGACACUGAAGGACCCAGUUGUGUGCUACACACGAGAUUAAAUGAGUGGAACAGAGCUGCCUUAUUGAACCAGGAAGUGAUAUUAAUAGAUUAUUCUGAUUAAUAGAUGAAACUCAGCAGUAAAAGGCUCUUAUGAACAGCUAAAAUUUCAGGCCUAACAAUCUAAGUGCAUGAGUGGAUGCUUAUGCACAAAUGAGAACCCAUUGUGUGUUUAUGUCCAGACAAUUAUGGUUAAAAAAAGUUCUUGAAAGAGAGAGGGAGACAGAGGCUCCAAAAGGCUUUAGAGGUCUACCAAUACUCAACAAAUCUAGAGCUGGUACCCACCUGAAACAGGGGAUGAAACUUUCCAGAACAUGCUUUGACAACCUCUUGUCCCACAAUACCACCAAACAUAGCAGCCAUAGGAUUCAGUACAGCCCUGGCACCAAAGGCAAAAUGUCGCAGAAGUUUUGGAUUGAUGUCUUCAACCCUACCAUCUCCAGAGUUUUCAUUGAUGAGACUGGCAAGAGACACAAGCUUCUGAGCAUCCUCUUCUGAACCAGCAACAGGGAGGCGACCCAUCUCAGACACAAACUUGUCCAGAGCUUGAAAUGCCAAGUGUAGGAGAGGUGGGCGAUCAAACUUUGAGAAAUCACUCAAAAGAAAAUCACCAGGAUCUUUAAUCGCUUCCCUCAAAGUCUUAAAGUUCAACACCUUCGGCUCUUUUACCUGUGUAACAAUGCCACCUUUCUCAUAGAUACCAAAGUCAGAGGUGUCCUCCUCAAGAAAAAAUGAAUAUGCUCUGGCGUUUUUAAUCUUUCUAGGUUUUCCAUCAUUUAGUUCUGUCAUUCCCUUAACUUCGGAGAAAGCAACAAGAUCCCCAUCUUGAAACUCAAGCCUUUCAUCAUCAACGCAUGACACUAAUGCAGGGUUGUCAUUGCUGAUGGAUGCAACUAUGCCCGUGUGUGGUUCCUCUCCAUCAACAUCAAACACGGUGAAUUCAGGUCCAAAGUCACAAAAAAUGGAACCAAAAAGGCCUCUUACUUCAGCCUUGAUGAAAGAAAUAGGAGGCUUAUGAUCAUGGCAAUAGUCGUUGAACUCGAUGGCUUUCUCAAAAGUGACAUCAGUAAACACAACAGCCUGCAUCACCAGGGGAAAAAAGGUGGAUAUAAUAAAAUAUAUAUAAUGAUAAGGUAACGUGUUCAUGAACACAAAAGUGAGAGACAGCAUUGAAAUGCUCAACACACUAAAAAGCAAGCAUUUGUUUCCAUGAUAAUUUCCUUCCAUAUGAUACAGCAAUUCAGACUCAUUUCGCAAAAAAAAAAAUGAAAACAAUGAAAUCACAAUCUCUUGUUUAACUGUUUUUCAGAUAAAACUAGAGUUCACAGCAGAAAAUGCUGGAAGCAACAUGAUCCUAACAAAAACAAGCAUAAGUGAUUCCUUGAUUGUGUAGCUUUCUCCCAUCCUCUGCUUCAUGCUUUCAUGUAACUUUCUCCCAGAAAUUUCAUUUAGAAGAUAAAAUGUGGGUUCUCAAUCAUAAGUAAAGGAAGAGAAGCACACCACACUUACCAAAACAUUCAAGGAUACAAACCUGUUGAAAUUUCAUUAAAUUGAAAAUGUAUUCAUUAGAUGGCCUUUCUAGCAAUGUCGCAAGAUAACAUUGGGGGGACAUAGAAAAGGCUACUCCCAUAUCCUUCUAUUCACUCUUUGUAUUCUUCUUAAAUUUAACAGCUUUGGAGUUUCAUCUAGAUAAAGAAUGUUACUGAAGAAUCAAUUGUCUAGCCAUUGUCUCUUUACUUUCUCAACUUUUCUCUUCAGCCACUAGUGCUCAGCAUUUUAAGACUCUUAUUGGACCUUUACAUGAGAUUUUCAGCAGCAAUACAAUUUACAAGUCAGCCCACCAUACAGCUCACAAGGAGAAUUGAAUGAAGCUUAGGAUUUAGUAGCAUAUCACAGUUUCAGACGAUGUUUAACAUGACCCUAUAAAAGACCAGAUUCUUUCCCACGAAUCCUGGACAACCUAGUUAUAAGAAAUAUUACUUCAUAUUCCAAAAGCAGCAUUUCUAAAAUCAAUCGCAGCUCCCCGAGCUCCACAUCUGCUCCAGAAUAUUCAUAUGUGCCAGUAAAAUAAAAUCAAUACAGGCUCUACCAAAAAAUCAUGUACCUCAAUACUGUAAAUCCGAAUUAGCAUUAACAGCCAUAUUUGUAACUAAAUAAAACCAGUUGCUCACAAUGGAUUUGUUCAUGAUGUUGCACAUAUAAAUAUAAACAGGAGUAUUCCACAAAGUAUCCAUAUGAGAUUCUAUAGUAACUUUUGCAUUUGCUUUGCUUUUCAUAGAAAAAGCUUGUAAUCAUGAUAAGGUACCUACCACACAAAUAGGAGUGUAAUCAAGAAUAUCCAGCUCAAGAUGUUAUAAUUCACUUGUAGCAAAUGAAUCCUUCAAAUAAACUAAUCAAGAGAAAUCCACCGAGAAGGAAGUACCUGGAACUUGGAAAGAUGCUCUUUUGUCAAUUUUGUAGUUAAAGUAGAGAUGACCACUGCAUUGUUGAGUUCCUGCAACUUCUGAACAGAAGCAAGGGCUCUAUUAGUGCCAACAUCAUUUUCUGAGAAAACAAAGUUGCUGGAUAAAUCCCACAGCUCCACCACCCCUUCAUCAUGCAAUGUUACGGACUUGACACCAGCAAGAACAAGGUUUUUAGCUGCAGCAAGUAAAACAAAGCACACGCAUUAGAAAGAGAAACAUUUACAAAAACUUGACACCAACAGCAACAAGAGUUAAAGAAAAUUUAAAACAUUACAUUAUUUAAACACAUGCAAGGAUGUUAAAAAAAAAAGCUGCAGCAAAAAGAAAUCCAACUACAACAAACUGCCAAAAACAAGAUUAAUAAGCAGGCUUCCAUUCAACUGAUGUAGUUCGAAUUGAACAGGGAGAAAUUGAGAUAACUUAAGAAACAAAAAAGAAGAAGAAACGAAGACAAAUAGCUUGCGGAUAGCCCUCUCUUUCAUAAGCACAAAUUCAGCAUUCCAUUUCCAACGUUUCUUCAACAGAAAACAAAACAAUAAAUCCAUAAACAGCAACAAAAAUACCAAAUUAGCCUACAAGCUGCCUGACUCAUGAUCUUAAAGAGCUCACUAAUUAAACCAACACAAAUCAAGCUUAGAAGCAAAUAUCUAGCCACAGUAACUGAAAUCUGAUCACCUUUAACUACAGAGAAUUAAAAGUUCAAAAUCUAAUCAUCAUUUGCUCCCAAAAAUUCACCAUCAACAACAACAAAAUAAUCCACAACAAGAUCCAGAAAAUCACCGAAAAAAAUUAAACCAGAAAUUAAAAAAUAACAGGAUUAAGAAAAAUUACAAGAAACUGAAAAAUAAUUAAAGAACCAUACCAAUCUCAACACCAAGUCCUUGCAUCCCAGAAACGAGAACAUUAGAAGCAAAGAGCCUCCGCAUCGUCUCCCUACCGUAAACAGCAAGCUGCCGGCUAUGAAGAUCCUCAUCAAUCUCCGAUGGAUUUGAAUCACCAAGCGCCAUACUCACCUUCUCUUCAGCACCACCACUCUCUCUACUAAUAUCACUGCAAUUACCAAUAACGCUACUAGUUUUCUUAUUACUAUUGGCGGCGGUCGAUUCCAAAUAACAAUCGACCCGAUGCUUCUUAAAGACCGAUGACGAAUCUUUUGCUAUGUUGUUUUCACUUCCUUCUCCUUCUACCAACACAGCUUCAACUGGUAGCCUUUUAGGAAGCAUAAAGUACAGUAAACUGCCAAACAAGCCACAAAUCAUCACAAUCGAAAUCAAAGAUAAGCUGUUGUUAGCGAUUACAGUCGCAACAAAGAUCGGUACCGAAAUCAUAAACCCUAAUCCUAAACCUAACAUCAACAUGAUUGUAAGAUAAAGAAAUGGAUCAAUGGAUUCGUGAAGAUAGAGAAAGAAACAUACCGGUUAGGACUUAAUUAAGGAAAGAAUGGAAUCUAAGAGAGGAAGAAUGGAGAGGAAUCGAGAGAGAGAGAGUGAUUUGCUUUAUUGAGGAAGAAUAUUGAGUGAAGGGUAUUUGUGGAUUUGUGUGUUUUAGGGUUUAGGGGCAGGAGGGGUCAAGGGCUGUCCGGCUUUGGCAAGGUCGGGGUGCGUGUGGUACUGUCAUGAUUUUCUCUCUCUAUGUUGAAGAGAGAGAGGAGGUGUGUUUUGGUGUGAAGAGAGAGGGGAGUAAGAUAAGUCAGGUUGAGAGAAAGGUUGGUGUGUUCGUGUUGGGGAAUGACUGGUGAGAGGUAAAUUAUUUGAAUCGUGUGAUUUGGGGUUGAUGGUUUAGUCGUUGCCGUUUUAUUGGGGUUUUCGGGGGUGAUGAUGUCGUUUUCGUGGUUGUUUUGUUGUAUUUCGUUUGUAUGGGAUAGAAACUCUCGGCCGCGAAAUUAUGCUUACGGACACUUUUUAUUUGAAUUGAAGGAAUUGCAUGUAUUUAAGAUGUAAUGAAUUUCGAUAUAAAUAGCUAGCAAUUAACAUAAUUUCAUAGGUGAAUUUAUUUAAUUUUGAUGUGCAUGAACCGGAUUGACGGUGCCGCGAACAUGAAAUUAAAAAGAAAAUAAAAUAAAAGAUUAUUAGUAAAAUGCUUAGGUAUUAUCUUUAAUAGUGAUAUACUUGAAGCUUUUACAGUUCGUUUAUUUAAAAAGAAAAAAAGGAAAAGUGUAUUUGUACUCCUUUUCUUUUUCCUACUUCUUACGGCGGUAAAAGAAAUCCUAGUUCUAGAGACUAUCAAAGCAGAAUUUGUUACCCUCUCUCGACUCUGCUUUGGUAUUGUGUAAUAAAUAGAGUUGGCUAAAAUUUAUUUAUAUUUUUAUCAUUUAAAUAUAUUAAUAUAUAAAAAUAAAUUUUGCUAUAUUCUCGUUGUAACCCACCACAAGCCCCACUGGUCUAUUUCUGCGUGAAACUUCCAAAUAAGUGAAUUUUUAUCCCACACCAAACCCACUUCUUUCAUUGCAAUAAAGAAGAUAAAUGGCAAGGUGACUUUACAAUGACACCCUCGUAGACAUAAUCUUUGAAUAACAAUGGCAGCUUUUUUUUAUUGGAUAUUCUCAAUAUUUGAACUCAUGAUAUUAAGAAAAUGAACAGGCAUUUUUACCCAUCCACCAAACGCUAACAAACUAGACCAGCUACAAAAUUAACAGUAUUCCUUUCAUUUUUACAAGAUAGCAAAAGCAAAUUACUUUGAGUCGUAAUUAUACCUCAUUAUUUGUUACUAAUAUUAGAUUUUCAGGAGAAUAAUAUCAAUAAAUUAUAGCUCGAUACCCGCUCUCCAAAAAAAAAAUUCAGGUUGGGACCUCUUCUCUAUAGGAAAAGAAAGCUUAGGACACAAGUUACAUAUCUAACAUCGUCAUUUGAAAGCAUUUGAAUUCUAAUAUCUUUCAGUAUCCGCGGCGAGACCUAAAAUAAUCACCUUGCAACAUGCCCAUGUGUCCUGUCCAGGACAAGGAAGUUAACACGACAACUAAGGAAAAUUGCUUCUUCAAGUCCGUCUAGGACAAAAUCCUGUCUCUCUCACUAAACUUGCUUUCAAACUCUAAUGAACAAUAUCAUCAACUCAGCAGACCGGUUGCAUCCACGAUGUAAAUACCUCAGGUCGAUCUCUUUUAUCAAAGAAAAUUUUGUAGGGUCGAGAAUAACAGCACAUAUAUAGCCUGAGAACAGCACCAGAAAAUUUUCUCAUGGCAUUCUCGAGUUCCACAGCAUUCAGUAUUCAUAUAUCUUGAAAUAGAAGUUGCUAUUUGGUUUAUACUAUUGAAAUGUCAAACGGUUGUGUGAAAAAUAUCCAUAUUGUGUGCUCACAGAUGCAGCAGCAUUGAAAUGAAAUCUAACUGUUAAUGGGACUCCACCCCUCGUCCAGCAAUCUCAAGACUGACUUACUGAUUGGGGAAACGGACAAAGAUAACCUAACUGAAGUAAAUAGAUACAGGAGGAAUGUCAACAUCAUUGCCUUCAUCAUCCUCGCAUGCCACAACGACAUCAAAGUGGCGACGAUAUGCAGGCAACUCUACUUUAGCCACUUCCCUCACCAGAUCAACCACCUUCCUGUCCAUUCUGUCUCUAUGCCGAGGGAACAUGCUAUUGUAAAGCAGGCAACUACCAUGUGAAAUGCUAUAGGCAUCAAGACCCUUAUCCUUGAGCCAUUGCAUAAGUUCCCUCAAGGUAGGAUUGUUUUUUAGGAUCCACCUGUCCCAAACUGUCCAGCUCAUAUCCUGAUGCUUGAUAACCUUGGGUGGGACAGGCUCGGCCAUGGAGAACAGAGGAAGUGCAAGGUUGGCAAAUGUAUUGCGGUAGUCCUCCACUUUGUGUCCACCAUCCAGAACCUUAUACAGCUCCAAGCACACAAGACCAGUAGCCAUAGCUGUGGAGGUUGCUAUAGCAGGGAUGAUCCUUCCAGCAAUAAACUUGGCUUUCAGCUUGUCAACCUCAGGAAUGCUGUAGUUUCUUGCUCUCAUGUUGGCGAGACCAGCUAUCAGAUCCAUGUGGUAGUUUGUAUCAUCAUCCUGCACAAUCAAGGAAGUUAACUUAAAUUUCGGUUGGCUCAUGAAUAUUGAAUGGCUGAUAAAAGUGACUCCCCUUAUAUUUUGGCCACAUAUUUUCUUUUUUAAAGUAUUUCUAUCUACAUCAUGAAGCAAACACUACCCUUGAUCAAUUAAUGCAAAUAUUUCAAAAUUUUCAGCCAAGUUAAUAAGAAAAAAUGUUGGAUAACAUCUUGAUUCAACAGCAGGAUGGCCCAAAAAAUGCAUGCUAAAUAAAUUGAACAAGAGAUAUCACCUUCUCAAAUUGAAUUGGCGUCAUCCUGAACCCAAGUGGCAGCUUCUGCCUACACUGCUCUAAUUUUUUGAUAAGUUCAUUGAUUACCGCUGCAUCAUCUACAGAUGCAGAAGACAGGGUGGUAGCCUUCUCGUCUGUCUCAAUUUUCGCGUCUUCUCUUGGCUGAAAUUCUGGCACUACCACCUUCUCCACAGCCUCAGCCAACAUCUUAGGAUGCUUCGCCCACUCAGGAACUGAGAUCCCAAAAGUCUCUGCUCGCAAUAUUGAUGCUGCCAUGACAAAAUGGAGGUGACUUGGAUCUACAACUGAGAACUGAAGUGGAUGGGGGAAUCGCUUGGGGGCAGACCAGAAUGGAGCACCAGUACUAGUUGAUGCAUCCUCAGGGAAAGUGAAAAUCAACUGCUUCACCCGAUCAGCAAAAUAAUCUUCAAACCUGAAGACAAAGUGAGCAUAAAGUCAAGAAACAGAACAAGGUAUGUCCUAUCAUACAGAGAAUUGGAAACCCAAUCAAGGAGAGCACCUUAAACGAGCCCAUGUAAUGCAAUCCUGGAAUGUCUCACAUUUUUCCUUCUCAAGGCACUCAAGAACAUGUUCCAGAGUGUCCCUUGACUGAGCAUCACCAGCUUUGUUCAUAGCAUUAGUAUAUUCAACUGGAUUUGAUAAAUAGGCAUUCACUUCUGCUGGGGUUUUCUCCACCAAACCCUCGAACUCGGAUCGAGCCCAUGUCAAGCAAUGGUCAAUGUUAUGUGGGAAUGAAUGCACAGUGCACAUAGGUGCUUGUUUCUCAGGUGGGUCCCUUGAAGCGCCAUAAUUUUCAGUCAGGUGAGGAAUGACCAUCUGAGUGUUGCAUUUGGCACCUAAGGUUCCAGACUCGAGAAGAGGCUUUUGGAAGUACAAGCACCUCUGAUCAACAUAAAGUCUCGCAUUGACAUUGUCCAAAGCAUUCACAACAGCAGUUAAGUUCUCCCAGAAGGUAUCAUCAAAGACAUUCUCUGUUUCAGAGCCAACACGAUUCUGCAGCGCUUCAAUCUUGAGAUGAGGAUUUAUUAAUGCAGCAGCAGAAGCUGCAACAGUGGAUUUCGCCUGUCCAAUGUUCCAAUCACGGAAGAGAAACUGCCUGCUCAAGUUACUCUUCUCUAUCACAUCAUCAUCAGUUAUUGUCAGCUUC
RNAcentral lists this long non-coding RNA (8716 nucleotides) under Populus trichocarpa (black cottonwood). RNAcentral's name for it is "long non-coding RNA (PTRI_LNC002309)". Lineage: Eukaryota; Viridiplantae; Streptophyta; Magnoliopsida; Malpighiales; Salicaceae. The record is from RNAcentral.